RNAcentral lists this unclassified non-coding RNA (306 nucleotides) under uncultured fungus. RNAcentral's name for it is "sequence contains ITS2". The stretch from base 1 to 52 matches the Rfam family "5.8S ribosomal RNA", at positions 103 to 154 of the family's 154-position model. Lineage: Eukaryota; Fungi. The record is from RNAcentral.
AACGCACCUUGCGCUCCUCGGCAUCCCGAGGAGCAUGCCUGUUUGAGUGUCGCGAAACCGCCAACCGCCGCCCCCCCACCGGGGGAGAACGGCCUACGGUUGGAGGAUGGACGGCUGCCGGCGGGGCCCCCCCCUGCCGGCUCGUCCCAAAUGGAGUGGGCAGGUCCCAGCAGCUCCGCCCCGUCCGCCCAGCGUGAUAGGCAUCACCAGCUGGAGAGCGGAGGAGGGGCUGCCGCUGUGCCCCAGGCAUCGCAGCAACGCGCAUCAUCUGACCUCAAAUCAGGCAGGAGUACCCGCUGAACUUAA